Molecule: long non-coding RNA, 2005 nt
Organism: Oncorhynchus tshawytscha (Chinook salmon)
Lineage: Eukaryota; Metazoa; Chordata; Actinopteri; Salmoniformes; Salmonidae
Source: Ensembl
AGCACACCUGCGAUCAGCUGUCAGUGGAUAUUGAGACAAUUGUUUUAAAGAUCUACAGCCACUUCUCAGUAUCUGCUUCCCGAAGAGAGAAACUGACUGCAUUUUAUGCCUUUGUUGUCAUUGAAUGGAGGGAAAUUCUGCGACAUGUUUGAACACGAUGGCUCUCUCUUCAUCCAGCUGUCGAUCGUCUCCUGCAAAGCUGGCCAGCUCUUACUUCGUACUUCAGGUCCCUUGGCGAGACCUGUCCUGUGGCGCUGAAGAGUAUUUUUGAGUAUUUAGAAAAAACGGAAGCUGCUGAGAUGUAUCUGUGCUUUUUCCACAACGUGGGGUGUGUUUUUGACCAACUCGUAAAAAAGCUGGAGGAAACAACUCUCUGCAACACAGAUGUUUACGAGGAAGUCCAACAUUUCAAAAUGAAGAUGUUUCAGUGGAAACAGAACAGUUUUUUUGGAUACCAGACCAAGCAGCUGAUGGACAAGCAAUUGUCAGCACAAAGGUCCAAGCAGCAACAGGACUUUAUGAAGUUCUAUGACACUGUCAUUACAUACAUUUUCUGGUGAGAAAUCAAACCACUUAUCAAUGUAAUGGUGAAACUGAAACCGAUCAGCCUCUGAGGAGCUCUCCUUCACUGACCUGGAGCAGGUGGUGGUUGCCCUCAAAAUGACAGAAACAGUCAGUAUGGACCAACUCUAUGAAGAGUGUUGUGCCUGGAGGAAAUACAGAAAGACAGACAGAAUAUCACAAAAUCCACCAGUGAGAAGUGGGUGGCAGUUUUCCAAAACCCAAGGAAAGCCAACUUGAUCAACAUGUUCAGGAUUGUCUCAUUUGUCCUCAGUGUGCCAGGCUCAAAUGCCUUUUUGGAGAGGAUUUUCUCUCUGAUGACCAUUAAAUGGUCAGACUCAAGAGACGAUGUAGCACAGAGGCUCUGUGACAGAGCUGAUCAAAAAUGAACUUCAAAUAUCUGUGAGCUGUGACUUGUCAUGUAAGGACUUCUCUCUGGCUAUGCAUAAGGACAAAGGACUGCUUGAAUCAGUCAAGAGCAGCAAAAAAAUAUCCAUGGAAAAAGUAGACUUGGAAGGAAAUCUUGCUGUUUUGCCAUUGCUGCUUGACAACUACACCCCUUGUAUGGAUGGUCUGCCCAUGUUCAUCCUACAUUUGGCUAUUGGGGUGUGAACUGUGAACUAUUCUUAUCCAUGACCAUGUCCUAUCAAUAUGUGAUCAAUAUGUAUCAAUAAGUUCUUCUAGACUAGAGUGACUAAUUGGAAGGUUGGUGUUAUGUUGCGUAGAUGAACUGGGACAAUGACAAGGAUUGCUUCAGAGACUUCAGCAAGGAGUGCAUCCUGUUCUAUUCCAUCAGGAAACCGUAUGUCCAGGAGGUGGAGGUAGGAGAGGGCAGGUAUUUCACAUGCACCUUCUUGGGUUGUGUUCAUUCGGAUCCAAACCGAAGACAACGGACUGACAUGGAAGGACUACUGGACUUUGCCACUAACAAACUAUAAUUUUUGCUUUCUGUUGCAUGCCUAAUAAACACAACACGGUUGAGUGAUUAGGAUAUAUAAGUGGGCAGUUGAUGGCAUCUAGGCUACAUUUAGUAUGUACCAAGAAAGGAUUCGGGAGCAAAUCUUUUUGAAAUGGAAGAAGUACUGCCAGAAUGCCAAAUAGGAACCCAGUCUUGUGUUUUCAGUUUAAAGUAGACUUUGUCUACUUCCCCAGAGUCAGAUGAACUUGUGGAUACCAGUUUCAUGCGCCAAUGAUAACUAGCAUUAGUGUAAUGGUGUAAUCUGUAUUGAAAAGUGAUAACAUGCUCUGACAAAUUUGUUUAAGGGGUCGCCCUGCAACAAUCCUUCUCUCAGCAAACUCAAAGGAAGAGUUAAUUCGGACUAAACCCGAGAGAUUCCUGAACAACCUCACGUGCUGCAAAUAGCACAAAAGGGACCCCUUCAUCUGAGUCUCUCAAACUCAAAGCAAAAGUCUGAUAAUCUCUCAAGAGCACCUUGAGUCUCAG